GCUCAGUAACGCGUCGAUAAUCUGCCCUUAGGUCUGGGAUAACGUUGGGAAACUGACGAUAAAACCGGAUAUGAAAAUACAACUGGAAGGUGUAUUUUUUCAAACGCAAGGCCUAAGGAUGAGUUGGCGGCGGAUUAGGUUGUUGGCGAGGUAACGGCUCACCAAGCCGAAGAUCCGUAGGGGCCUUGAAAGAGGUAGCCCCGAGAAGGGCACUGAGACACUGGCCCUAGCUCCACGGAGUGCAGCAGGCGCGAAAACUUCACAAUGCACGAAAGUGUGAUGAGGGAAUCCCAAGUGAUAUUGCAAUGCAAUGUCUUUUGCCAAGGGUAAAUACCUUGGAGAAUAAGUGGUGGGCAAUACCUGUGCCAGUCGCCGCGGUAACCCAGGAGCCACAAGUGGCAACCACCUUUAUUUGGCCUAAAGCGUCCGUAGCCGGCUAUGUAAAUUUCCUGUGAAAUCGUUGCGCUCAACGUAACGGCGCGCAGGGAACACUGCAUGGCUCGGGACCGGGAGGAGUCAGAGGUAUUUGAGGGGGGAGCGGUAAAAUGCUAUAAUCCUUCAAGGACCACCUGUGGCGAAGGCGUCUGACUAGAACGGAUCCGACGGUGAGGGACGAAAGCUAGGGGGAGCAAUCCGGAUUAGAUACCCGAGUAGUCCUAGCUGUAACUCUGCGAGCUAGGUGUUGCGCAAUCUUCGGGAUUGCGUGGUGUCGAAGCGGAAGGCGAUAAGCUCCGCCGUCCUGGGGGAGUACGGUCCGCCAAGGCUGAAACCUCCAAGG
This 778-nucleotide ribosomal RNA is filed under the name uncultured archaeon. Its description in RNAcentral is "bacterial SSU rRNA". It matches the Rfam family "Archaeal small subunit ribosomal RNA", at positions 88 to 862 of the family's 1478-position model. The record is from RNAcentral.